This 253-nucleotide ribosomal RNA is filed under the name uncultured bacterium. RNAcentral's name for it is "partial 16S ribosomal RNA". It matches the Rfam family "Bacterial small subunit ribosomal RNA", at positions 524 to 776 of the family's 1533-position model. The record is from RNAcentral.
UACGUAGGUGGCAAGCGUUGUCCGGAUUUACUGGGCGUAAAGGGCGUGCAGGCGGUCUGUUAAGUGCAGGGUGAAAGCUCCCGGCUCAACUGGGAGAGGUCCUUGCAUACUGGCGGACUUGAGGGGGGUAGAGGAAAGUGGAAUUCCCGGUGUAGUGGUGAUAUGCGUAGAUAUCGGGAGGAACACCUGUGGCGAAGGCGGCUUUCUGGGUCCUACCUGACGCUGAGACGCGAAAGCGUGGGGAGCGAACCGG